Ricinus communis (castor bean) is the source of this 2506-nucleotide RNA transcript. RefSeq lists it as uncharacterized. The record is from RefSeq and is a predicted model, not a curated record. Lineage: Eukaryota; Viridiplantae; Streptophyta; Magnoliopsida; Malpighiales; Euphorbiaceae. The transcript is spliced from 16 exons.
GGCAAAAUCGAAUAAACGGUUAAGACUUCCUACAGGAAACUGUAACAAAACUAAAUGCCAUUUAUGUUGUGUGGCUAACGACAAGCUGGCCGACAAUUACCCAAAAUAUAAUUAAAAAUUAAAAAAAAAAAAAAAGAAACUUGUGAAUGUGAGUAACCUGAAAUGAAUUUGCCUCCGAAGAGGAAGGGGGCGUAGGUUACAGUAUUGAUGAAAGAAAGGGCGACAAGUGCGAAAAAAGAAACUGCUGAAAUUUAAAUCUAAAAAGCUCUGGAAUUUCAAAGAAACAAAUAGAAAGGAGUUACUGAGCUUUGGUUACAUCAAAAUACAAAAAAAUACGUCCCAAAAUUUUUGAUUUUGAUUCCAAAACUAAAACACUUGCUCUUUUCUUGGAAUCUUCUUAGCUUCACCUCCUCAUUUCCCAUAAGAGAAAGAGAAAGAAAAAGAGAGAAGAGAAUAAGAGAAAGAAGUAAGAGGGGUUAUGCUCAUGUAUUUAUUACGAAAAUAGAGCUGAAAUUCAAGUGGCUAAUUUUAGAUUUGGAUAGAAAGAAGAUGGACAAGAACACGACGAAGAAGAAGGAAGUGAUUAGAUUGGAAAGGGAAUCUGUCAUUCCAAUUCUUAAGCCUAAGCUCGUUAUGACCUUGGCCAACCUUAUUGAACAUACUUCUGACCGGGCUGAGUUUCUAAAGCUCUGCAAGAGAAUUGAGUAUACUAUUCGAGCUUGGUAUCUUCUCCAGUUUGAAGAUUUGAUGCAACUGUAUUCCCUCUUUGACCCUGUGAGUGGGGCUCAGAAAUUGCAGCAGCAGAAUCUAUCUCCUGAAGAAAUUGACGUCCUUGAACAGAAUUUCCUUACUUACCUAUUUCAGGUAAUGGAUAAGAGCAAUUUCAAGAUAGCAACUGAAGAGGAGAUUGAGGUUGCACACUCAGGGCAGUAUCUCUUAAAUCUUCCUAUCUCAGUUGAUGAAUCUAAGCUUGACAAGGAGGUUUUGAAGAAGUACUUUGCAGCGCAUCCUCGUGAAGAUCUUCCAGACUUUGUUGAUAAGUAUGUUAUCUUUCGUCGUGGGAUCGGAAUAGAUCGGACAACUGAUUAUUUUAUCAUGGAGAAAGUGGACAUGCUGAUUGCACGUUUUUGGGCAUAUAUUCUGAGACUGACUCGGGUAGAAAAACUUUUGCGCAGAAGGUCAAGUAUGCGGUGUAAGAAAGAUCCAAAGAAGAAUGAUGAAAUUAACUCUGAAGCAGAUCAGAAUGACUUAUGCGUUGAGCGAAUUCGACUGGAAAAUAUGGAACUGAGUGUUAGGAAUUUGCUAAGCAGUACAACUAUCCAAGAACCUACGUUUGAUAGGAUAAUAGUUGUAUACAGGCGAGCAAGUAGCAAAUUGAAGAAAGAACGAGGAAUAUAUGUGAAACAUUUCAAAAACAUCCCGAUGGCCGAUAUGGAAAUAGUUCUUCCAGAAAAGAAAAAUCCUGGUUUAACUCCUAUGGACUGGGUCAAAUUCCUAGGUUCUGCUAUAGUUGGGCUGGUUGCUCUUGUUAGUUCACUUGAAAUGCCUAAAGCUGAUCUUUGGGUCAUCUUCGCUGUCCUUUCUGCAGUGAUUGGUUACUUUGCGAAGACAUACUUCACGUUUCAGGCAAACUUGGCUGCAUAUCAGAACUUAAUUACACAGUCCAUGUAUGACAAACAGUUGGAUAGUGGAAAAGGCACUCUUCUUCACCUGUGUGAUGAUGUGAUUCAACAGGAAGUCAAAGAGGUUAUUAUCUCAUUCUUUAUAUUGAUGGAACAAGGCAAAGCUACUAUGCAGGAUUUGGAUUUGCGCUGUGAGGAACUAAUUCAAGAAGAGUUUGGAGAGAGCUGUAAUUUUGAUGUCGACGAUGCAGUUCUUAAGUUAGAGAAGUUGGGCAUUGUUGCUCGGGAUACAAUUGGACGGUAUUAUUGUGUUGGCCUAAAACGUGCCAAUGAGAUUAUUGGUACCACUACUGAAGAGCUUGUCCUCAAGGCAAAACAGGGUGUUAGUGCUUGAUGCUGUCUUUGGAAGGUGAGCUUCUUUCCAGAUCACUCCUCCAAAAACUGUUACAUGCGAUCGGCGGCUGCACCUAUGAGCAACUCAAGAUGUCUGAUUGCUAUGUACACCUGGCUAGGAGGAGAACAAAGAGUGAAGUGAAGCCUGCAGAGAGGAGCAAAACUCAAGAACAGAAGAUCUUAAUGCAUCAUAUCAGAAGACUGCAAGGGCAAAGAAGGAAAGCAAUGGGGUCUCUUUGCAGCAUUAUUUCUUAUUUAUGUGAUUUUUUUGGCCUUAACAGUAACCAAAUACCAGGCUCAGCUGGAGUUUGGUCUUGUUAUGGCUAAAACGGUAGCUAGGAAACUGCCUACCCGAAUACCGGACAUCUACAUUCAUUAUGAGUGACGGUCAUACACUGCCAAAUUAUUUUCCAAAUGAUUCUGUUUGUUUUACGUAAAAAUGUUUUCUAGUGUUCUUGGGAAGUUAUCAUAAUAAUUCUUUUCCUUUGGCA